GGCAACUUGCCAGAGUGGUCUAAUGGGUGAGACUUGAACCACAUAUCGGGGCAAUCUCAUGGGCUCCGCCCGCACAGGUUCGAACCCUGUAGUUGUCG
Molecule: transfer RNA, 98 nt
Filed under: Malassezia sympodialis ATCC 42132
Lineage: Eukaryota; Fungi; Basidiomycota; Malasseziomycetes; Malasseziales; Malasseziaceae
Description: tRNA-Ser
Rfam family: tRNA
About the family: Transfer RNA (tRNA) molecules are approximately 80 nucleotides in length.
Source: RNAcentral